AAACUGCUCAUAAGGACUGAAGUCAGAUUUCGUUCAGGGACACGUAUCAGGCUAAACAUCAGCAGACAGUGUUGAAGGGACUGUGGGACCGUGACUGAGAGCAGGGGCCUUCUUUAGCAACUAAGCACAGGCUUGUGUCACAAAAGCCCAGCGAUAGGGACAGGGUCUGUCCCCACCAGGACCUCCUCUCAGCGGGACAUGGUGGUCAGCAGCCAGGGGACCUCACAUGUUACAUCCAUGCCCAUUAGCCACGUGAGUCUUGGCUUUCUCCUCUGCCACACAGGGAUGGCGACAGAGCCAUCCACGUCUCAGUGAGGUGGUGUGGGCACAUGAGAUGGCAUAUGGCUAACCUGCUGGGCACAGUGUGUGGAACACAGAAACUUUCAGCCCAGGGCCAGGCCAACACCACCUUCAAGGCCGUCUGCAUUACUGGGGUGGGGCGAGGCAGGAUAGCAGCUCACUGAGCAUGUGAGUGCAUGUGUGCAGAGGGUCACAAUCACACCCACACAUCUGAGCCAGGCUACAGCAGGUGCAGGACCCACUGGGCACCCCCGAGACCCCAAAUCCUUUCCUUCCAAGUUGCAAAUGUUUGACAGUCCGUGUCAGCGGCUCAGCCCUCAGCCUGGGCUUCGGAUUGUAAUUCUGUCUUCGGUCUUGCAAAUCUUGGCAUGGACUUCUGAUCCCCGCGUGGGCUGGAGGCUGGGCCUCUGGAAGGCCAGGCUGGAGGUGAUGGAGGGCUUCUGCUUGGAAUUUGAGCAUGUCCACUGCCAGUAUUUGUGGUUACUACCUGCAACGUAAAUCUCUUUUAGAGAUGUGUGAGGACAGCAUACAUAAUGAAAUAUCAACAUGUAACUUGAUUUAAAGUGCCUUUUCAUUAAUAUAACAAAUGAAGUGUACCAAAAUUUGAAAGUAUAUUCCUUUGGGCCUAAUUAAAACACUGAACAAAAUACAUGUAUAUGUAUAUUUUAAAUGAAGACAUUCAGCAGCCAGAAUUAGCUACAGAAAUUAAUUCAACUCGAAAAGUGCACCAUGAGUACAUUGUUAUUAUUAACGGAGCCAACCCUCUUCCCCGAGAUACCUCAAAUAACGGGCCUCUGAUUUAGUGCCUGCAUGGGUGACAAGUGGGCUUGGCUUUAAAAAUACCGCAGUCUACACAGUGGCUCGUCCCACGGGUGUUUUAACUGUUCUGCUGCCUUCCGGGCAGAGGAGAAUUUUCUGGGCACCCGUGCCGGCGUCAGCGAGCUGUGAUCUCCUCUGACUGAGGAGAGCGUCCUUGGCUCAACUUCCAUGCACAAAGGGCAGUGGUCUCUGCCUUGGGGGGCUGUGGCCAGAGCUAUGGGAG
This 1342-nucleotide long non-coding RNA is filed under the name Suricata suricatta (meerkat). RNAcentral's name for it is "lncRNA (ENSSSUG00005001696.1)". The record is from RNAcentral. Lineage: Eukaryota; Metazoa; Chordata; Mammalia; Carnivora; Herpestidae.